UACGUAGGGUGCAAGCGUUGUCCGGAAUUAUUGGGCGUAAAGAGCUCGUAGGCGGCUUGUCGCGUCGGCUGUGAAAACCUGGGGCUCAACCCGGGCCUGCAGCCGAUACGGGCAAGCUAGAAUUCGGUAGGGGAGACUGGAAUUCCUGGUGUAGCGGUGAAAUGCGCAGAUAUCAGGAGGAACACCGGUGGCGAAGGCGGGCCUCUGGGCCGAAAUUGACGCUGAGGAGCGAAAGCGUCGGGGAGCGAACAGG
RNAcentral lists this ribosomal RNA (253 nucleotides) under uncultured bacterium. RNAcentral describes it as "partial 16S ribosomal RNA". It matches the Rfam family "Bacterial small subunit ribosomal RNA", at positions 524 to 776 of the family's 1533-position model. The record is from RNAcentral.